This 364-nucleotide long non-coding RNA is filed under the name Fukomys damarensis (Damara mole-rat). Its description in RNAcentral is "lncRNA (ENSFDAG00000022008.1)". Lineage: Eukaryota; Metazoa; Chordata; Mammalia; Rodentia; Bathyergidae. The record is from RNAcentral.
CAGGGAGGUCAGAGGGCCAGGGACAAAGGCAGUCCCCCACUCCCCCGUUCCCGCCGUGGGGACUGCAUGCUGUCAGCACUGCUAAUCCAUGUGCUCACCUUUCAUCUCAGCAGAUCUGUUCGGGGGAAAGAGACCCAUUUCACAGCUGACAAGAUUGAAGGGCGAGAAGGAGGGGCACAGGCGGCGCCUGAAAGGUCACUUUCCUCACAGGAAGCAAAGGCGCUGCCCUGACAGAGCCUCGGCAGGCAAUCCGGCUGCUCACCGCGCAGAGCCCGAAUGGGAGAGUGUGGGGCCAGGGACUUCUGCUGUGGCUGACCACACCAUCACGCAAGACCCCCACAAACCAGGACACACACGGCAGGAC